Molecule: ribosomal RNA, 497 nt
Filed under: uncultured bacterium
Lineage: Bacteria
Description: partial 16S ribosomal RNA
Rfam family: Bacterial small subunit ribosomal RNA
Source: RNAcentral
GAUGAACGCUGGCGGCGUGCCUAAUACAUGCAAGUCGAGCGAACAGACGAGGAGCUUGCUCCUCUGACGUUAGCGGCGGACGGGUGAGUAACACGUGGAUAACCUACCUAUAAGACUGGGAUAACUUCGGGAAACCGGAGCUAAUACCGGAUAACAUGUUGAACCGCAUGGUUCAACAGUGAAAGACGGUCUUGCUGUCACUUAUAGAUGGAUCCGCGCCGCAUUAGCUAGUUGGUAAGGUAACGGCUUACCAAGGCAACGAUGCGUAGCCGACCUGAGAGGGUGAUCGGCCACACUGGAACUGAGACACGGUCCAGAAUCCUAAGGGAGGCAGCAGUAGGGAAUCUUCCGCAAUGGGCGAAAGCCUGACGGAGCAAAGCCGCGUGAGUGAAGAAGGUCUUCGGAUCGUAAAACUCUGUUAUUAGGGAAGAACAAAUGUGUAAGUAACUAUGCACGUCUUGACGGUACCUAAUCAGAAAGCCACGGCUAACUACGUG